UGUGUUGUGUGCGUCACUGUUUUCCGUCCGGGUAGUUGUUGUUGCCUGUGCUCGUUUCAAGUUAUCAAGUGUAUAUUUAUUGAAAUUGAAAGUGGAUUACGCUGGUACAGUCAAACGUCACAACACGUUCUAAAACGCUCUGGUGACAAACACUUUUUUCCUUGAAUCCAUUCGUCCACAUGGCUGUGCUUUACUACCACCGAAAAUACAGUAAAAAUGACUAAUUAUUUUGUUUUUGUAAGGACCCCCCAAAAAACGGAGGCUGUGAGAGAACCCAUUCAAAUAUGGAAAGCUGUGAAAGCCUGUUUGCAGAUGAAGAGAGAGGUUGUAAGAGACUAAGGGUAUAUCCUAUAUGCCAUGGGUUAUAUGUGUAGGCCUACCUACAGUAUGUUAGCAAAUGUUGGAUACAAAAAUACAGUUAAACAUCACACACAAUGUAUAAACCUAUUACAAUUGGAGCAGGCCAACCCUGCAGGAUGUCUGCUGGGUGUGCAGGGUUCUGUUUCAGCCCAGCAAUAACAAACAAGAUUUAACUUAUCAACCCUAAUGAGUUGAUAAUCAAGUGUGCUAUUGCUGGGCUGGAACAGAAGUCUGCUCACCCAGUAGAUCAGGGAUCAGUGGAGCGAGGUUGGCCACAGCUGGUAUGGCGUUUUUUUUUGUUCACCUGAAAUUAUGCUUUAGUAGUAAUAGCCUACUUGUGACCACUCAGUUAUACGUUGUUGUUUAGACUAAUACGUCUAAUCUUUACAUACGAGUUAGCUUAUUUGUACAUUUUGAAGUGAUGAAGUGUUGAUUCUUUGAAGUGAAGUGUUUAAACUGGUUUUAAUUGUUAAACUAUUAUCCAAAAUGAACUAGUGUCAAUGUUGAUUUAAUCACAGAUUACAAUCCUGCAUAAAGAGGGGAGGAGGUUCUA
Long non-coding RNA from Coregonus clupeaformis (lake whitefish), 913 nucleotides. RefSeq lists it as uncharacterized. The transcript is spliced from 2 exons. The record is from RefSeq and is a predicted model, not a curated record. Lineage: Eukaryota; Metazoa; Chordata; Actinopteri; Salmoniformes; Salmonidae.